This 589-nucleotide ribosomal RNA is filed under the name Dothideales sp. LM688. Its description in RNAcentral is "SSU rRNA". It matches the Rfam family "Eukaryotic small subunit ribosomal RNA", at positions 23 to 620 of the family's 1831-position model. Lineage: Eukaryota; Fungi; Ascomycota; Dothideomycetes; Dothideales. The record is from RNAcentral.
ANCNUAGCUGUNUCNAGAUNNAGCCAUGCAAGUCUAAGUAUAAGCAACUAUACGGUGUAAACUGCGAAUGGCUCAUUAAAUCAGUUAUCGUUUAUUUGAUAGUACCUUACUACAUGGAUAACCGUGGUAAUUCUAGAGCUAAUACAUGCUAAAAACCCCGACUUCGGGAGGGGUGUAUUUAUUAGAUAAAAAACCAAUGCCCUUCGGGGCUCCUUGGUGAAUCAUAAUAACUUAACGAAUCGCAUGGCCUUGCGCCGGCGAUGGUUCAUUCAAAUUUCUGCCCUAUCAACUUUCGAUGGUAGGAUAGUGGCCUACCAUGGUAUCAACGGGUAACGGGGAAUUAGGGUUCUAUUCCGGAGAGGGAGCCUGAGAAACGGCUACCACAUCCAAGGAAGGCAGCAGGCGCGCAAAUUACCCAAUCCCGACACGGGGAGGUAGUGACAAUAAAUACUGAUACAGGGCUCUUUUGGGUCUUGUAAUUGGAAUGAGUACAAUUUAAAUCCCUUACGAGGAACAAUUGGAGGGCAAGUCUGGUGCCAGCACCGCGGUAAUUCCAGCUCCAAUAGCGUAUAUUAAAGUUGUUGCAGUU